This 2360-nucleotide ribosomal RNA is filed under the name Triticum aestivum (bread wheat). Its description in RNAcentral is "partial small subunit ribosomal RNA". The record is from RNAcentral. Lineage: Eukaryota; Viridiplantae; Streptophyta; Magnoliopsida; Poales; Poaceae.
AACCCACACCCACCCACCCAUCCGCCAUGAUCUGAAAAUUUACGAAUCUCUCUCGGCGCGAUCCGAAAAUCCCCCAAAGUCCUCGCGCUUCCAGACCCAACCGCCGGUUUGAAAAUUUUCCGAACCCGAUCGGAUCUAGCCGCCUCGCCCCCAGCCCGCCGCGAGCGCGCCGCUGCCCCACGGAUCCGCCUCCCCUCCUCGCCGGCGUCGACCGAUGGCGGUGCUCGGGCGGCCCACGAAGCGGGCGCGGCGCGGGCGGGUGCUGGCGGAGCCCUGCCUCCUCGACCUGCGGGCGUUCCCCGGCCGGAAGGAGCGGGCCGGCGCCGCGUCGUUCCGCGCCAGCGUGCGGGGGUUCCUGUCCCGGCACGCGUCGCCGGCGCCGCCGCCCGCGGAGUGGGAGCAGGGCGGCGUGCUGGGCGACGCCGGCGCGGUGUGGCAGGUAGGUUUCCGUGUAGGCGAGGAGGGCGAGGCCUCGGUCGUGGCCAUGGAUGUGGUCGAGGAGGACGUGCCCAGGGCCAGGCGCGUCCACUGUGACCACUGUACGGUUGCUGGCUGGAGCAGGCACCCAGUUUGUGGGAAGAAGUUUCACUUCAUAAUUCGGAAUGACAAAACGGCCAGCUGCAAAACCUGCCGGCGUUGUGGCCUGAUGGUUCAAUUGUUUGAGACAAGGUGCCCGGCGUGCAGUCACGGUUCUGCGUUACCCCAUGAUGGAUCUGAAGAUUGGGACUAUGCCCAGAUUGACGAUCCGCGGCAUUUGCUACAUGGCAUAGUACAUGAAAAUGGGUUUGGCCAUCUUGUACGAAUUAACGGCCAUGAAGGUGGCUCCAGCCUCUUGACAGGAUACCAACUGAUGGACUUUUGGGAUCGUCUUUGCACAUACCUAAGAGUCAGAAAGGUUUCAGUGUUGGAUGUCUCGAAGAAGUUUGAAGUUGACUACCGAGUUCUACAUGCCAUUGCCACUGGCUGUUCUUGGUACGGGCAGUGGGGAUUCAAACUUGGAAGUGGGAGCUUCGGAAUUACAUCUGAAACCUACAGCAAAGCCACUGAAAACCUCUCCUCAGUAUCACUCUCUCACUUCUUUCCGCCCUCCCGAUAUCCUCGAAACCAACUGCAGGAUACCAUUGCAUUCUAUCAAUCGCUCUCAAAGCGCCCUCUCACAACAUUCCGUAAUCUGUUCCUCUAUGUCUUGGGGCUUGCUGCUGGCAAGAGUGUGCAUACCCACCUUGUGACAAUGCACAAGAGGGAGCUAGCAUAUGAUGCCAAUUUCAAAGACGAAAACUGGGCUGAUGAGAAAAUAAAGCAAGCGAUGGAUGUUGCGCUGAAAGUUCUCCGUGCUGCAGAUAGGUGGGUGGCUAUGCGAACCCUAAAGGCAGCUACAGCUCAUCCAAUUGGUUCACCACAGCUGGUCGAUUACUGCCUCAAGACCAUUGGUGGUACAAGAACCUAUGAUGGGAUGGUUGUUGUAGUUCGAUGCAACAGUGAGACAAACACAAUAGAGUAUAGGCUCACAAAUGAAAUCUUGCCGCCAAAGAAUGCGAGCAUGCCAACUCGGGAACACCUUUUCCGUGACAUCAAGUUCCUCUAUGAUACGCUCCUCAACCCUCAUACAAUGCAACCUUAUAAGCCAGAACAUAUUCAUGAACAUGCCAACAGAUCUGCGAUGGUCCUUUUGGACUGCAAACAAUUCAUCAAGCAUUAUGACAUGGAAGAGGAUUUCUUACCUCAAAACCAAUCUGUGCUGCACAUCUGGUGCCAAGUGGAGCUAUUGGAUCAGGUUGGUGAUCCACCCAGCCUCCCAGCAGAACUUUUAACACUUCCGCAAACAGCUACUGUUGCUGAUCUGAAGAUGGAGGCUGCGAGAACAUUCCAAAGUAUCUACUUGAUGCUACAAAGCUUUGUAGCAAACCAGCUUCUUGAUUGUCCAACUGCAGAGGACACAACUCAAGUCAAGCUCUUAUUUGGAGCAAAAGGGACUGUCAGCAUCCAAGGCAAGUGUGUUGGAGGUGAGCGCAGGGUUGCAAUUUAUCGGAUGGAGAGGGGUGUAGAAAAAUGGACAGUUAAUUGUUCAUGUGGAGCGAAGGAUGAUGAUGGUGAGAGGAUGCUAUCUUGUGACUCAUGCCAUGUGUGGCAGCACACUAGGUGUGUUGGAAUUAGUGAUUUUGUUCAGGUGCCGAAGAGAUUUGUGUGUGCAUCUUGUAAAUUACUCCACAAGUCUAAGAUGUAUAGUAGUUUCCCUAACAAAAGAUGUAAGACUGGCUCUUUUAGUCAUGCCAGUAGUGGGUUGUGGAGGCCCAACAUCAGUUAACAUGUACAUAUCGACAACAAUGAGUUCCUAAUAUGACAGAUGCAAGUUUUGCAUG